UAUGUGAUCGUCUCUCGCAUAUCAAUAAGCGGAGGAAAAGAAACUAACAAGGAUUCCCCUAGUAACGGCGAGUGAAGCGGGAAGAGCUCAAAUUUGAAAUCUUAAAGGGUUUCCCUUUACGAAUUGUAGUUUAAAGAAGUGUUUUCUGUUGAGGUUUUGGUAAAAGUUCUUUGGAAUAGGACAUCAUAGAGGGUGAGAAUCCCGUAUUUGACCUUUACUUUCAACUUUGUGAUACACUUUCAAAGAGUCGGAUUGUUUGGGAAUGCAGUCCAAAAUGGGUGGUAAAUUUCAUCUAAAGCUAAAUAUUGGCGAGAGACCGAUAGCGAACAAGUACCGUGAGGGAAAGAUGAAAAGAACUUUGAAAAGAGAGUUAAACAGUACGUGAAAUUGUCAAAAGGGAAGCGUUUGACACCAGUGUUGUUCUUCUGAAAAUCAAUUAAAGAACUGUUUAUGCUAAGCUUGUUUAGACUUUAUCAGCUAUCUGUUUAGUUUUGAGCUUUUCUUUAAUGCACUUUUCAGUUAACAAGUCAACAUCAAUUUCUUUUGCUGUAAAAAAGCUUGAGGAAGGUGGCUUGAGAUUCGUCUUAAGUGUUUAUAGCCUCUUGCCUAUGCAGUCGGAGAGAUUGAGGUCUGCAGCGUAGAUCCUUCGGGGCUAAAUGCAUUUGUGCUAAGUUAUAGCAUUUUAUAGACAACUUGUUGACUAUGAUUUGUCUUGUAGCUUACUCGCUUAUGUUAUUUUACCUACGCUUAGGAUGUUGAGUAGCGACAUACGCAC
This 775-nucleotide ribosomal RNA is filed under the name uncultured Neocallimastigales. Its description in RNAcentral is "partial large subunit ribosomal RNA". It matches the Rfam family "Eukaryotic large subunit ribosomal RNA", at positions 24 to 649 of the family's 3401-position model. Lineage: Eukaryota; Fungi; Neocallimastigomycota; Neocallimastigomycetes; Neocallimastigales. The record is from RNAcentral.